Molecule: long non-coding RNA, 815 nt
Filed under: Triticum aestivum (bread wheat)
Lineage: Eukaryota; Viridiplantae; Streptophyta; Magnoliopsida; Poales; Poaceae
Description: long non-coding RNA (TAES_LNC011754)
Source: RNAcentral
UCCGUUAAGAAUACAGCAUUCCUCAAAUCAUUCCGUCAGAGGUGCGUCCCUCCCAUCAUUCACGUAGUAGAGUUUGAGCAAACUCUCUUCGACUCUUCCAUGUUCCUUCCACUUCCUGACUGGGCUGAAAGUUUCGCGUUCAACAACUUCAGGGCUUCAAACGGGAUCCUGGCGCUACAUUAUGCGAGGCAGUGGAUGGGGACAAAGCUACAGAGAACUCUAUCGCUGGUACGUAUACUUAAACCCUCACAUCAGAACGACGUAACAAAAUCAACUUAAAUCACGAGCAAUUCCCCUGAUGCGCCAUAUGUUUUUGUUUUCACCAAGUUAGGAUAUGAGAUCAACCAGUCCAGGAUGAUUCUUUUUUAUGAAGUUUUGGGAUUAGCCAAGAACAUCUGGCAACUCCCUGCAAAAUUCAAGAUUUGCCAGACUGAUUGUUGACAGGUGGGCCAAGAAAUUUGGCAAGAUUAUCGCUAUCAGCAAUUCAGCAUGGACGCAAUCAACAAGUCCGAAGGGGGGCGGGGCAUCUGCAAAGGACUUGCGAGGCGAACCACGGUGAUUCCAUUAUAUAUCAAAAAAGUUACAAGAGACUCGUAUUUUUUCCUGAGAAACUAUUUGCAGGUUAUGUAAUAUGAGUCUAAUGUAUUUUUUUCGUAUGCUUAGAGUGCGUUUUGUAUCGUGGUACGGAUUUAAUUCUAUUCUUAGGUUUGGACUCGCUAAAGUAUUGGACUGUAAUGGUCAAUUCCAUCUGGGAGGAUUUUGGAACCAUGACGAUGAUUGCAUGCGUAUUUUAAUUUCAGUUAGCAUGAAAAAAA